AAGUCGUAACAAGGUUUCCGUAGGUGAACCUGCGGAAGGAUCAUUAUCGUUGGGCUUCGGCCCAUUCGAGAUAACACCCUUGCCUUUUUGAGUACCUUUUCGUUUCCUCGGCAGGCUCGCCUGCCAACGGGGACCCUUCAAAACGCUUUGUAAUACCUGUAAUCGUCUGACAAAACAAACAAAAAUUAAAACUUUCAACAACGGAUCUCUUGGUUCUG
RNAcentral lists this unclassified non-coding RNA (218 nucleotides) under Sporormiella persica. Its description in RNAcentral is "Preussia persica partial internal transcribed spacer region". The stretch from base 1 to 46 matches the Rfam family "Eukaryotic small subunit ribosomal RNA", at positions 1786 to 1831 of the family's 1831-position model. Lineage: Eukaryota; Fungi; Ascomycota; Dothideomycetes; Pleosporales; Sporormiaceae. The record is from RNAcentral.